Molecule: ribosomal RNA, 2902 nt
Filed under: Escherichia coli
Lineage: Bacteria; Pseudomonadati; Pseudomonadota; Gammaproteobacteria; Enterobacterales; Enterobacteriaceae
Description: bacterial LSU rRNA
Rfam family: Bacterial large subunit ribosomal RNA
Source: RNAcentral
UUAAGCGACUAAGCGUACACGGUGGAUGCCCUGGCAGUCAGAGGCGAUGAAGGACGUGCUAAUCUGCGAUAAGCGUCGGUAAGGUGAUAUGAACCGUUAUAACCGGCGAUUUCCGAAUGGGGAAACCCAGUGUGUUUCGACACACUAUCAUUAACUGAAUCCAUAGGUUAAUGAGGCGAACCGGGGGAACUGAAACAUCUAAGUACCCCGAGGAAAAGAAAUCAACCGAGAUUCCCCCAGUAGCGGCGAGCGAACGGGGAGCAGCCCAGAGCCUGAAUCAGUAUGUGUGUUAGUGGAAGCGUCUGGAAAGGCGCGCGAUACAGGGUGACAGCCCCGUACACAAAAAUGCACAUAUUGUGAGCUCGAUGAGUAGGGCGGGACACGUGGUAUCCUGUCUGAAUAUGGGGGGACCAUCCUCCAAGGCUAAAUACUCCUGACUGACCGAUAGUGAACCAGUACCGUGAGGGAAAGGCGAAAAGAACCCCGGCGAGGGGAGUGAAAAAGAACCUGAAACCGUGUACGUACAAGCAGUGGGAGCACGCUUAGGCGUGUGACUGCGUACCUUUUGUAUAAUGGGUCAGCGACUUAUAUUCUGUAGCAAGGUUAACCGAAUAGGGGAGCCGAAGGGAAACCGAGUCUUAACUGGGCGUUAAGUUGCAGGGUAUAGACCCGAAACCCGGUGAUCUAGCCAUGGGCAGGUUGAAGGUUGGGUAACACUAACUGGAGGACCGAACCGACUAAUGUUGAAAAAUUAGCGGAUGACUUGUGGCUGGGGGUGAAAGGCCAAUCAAACCGGGAGAUAGCUGGUUCUCCCCGAAAGCUAUUUAGGUAGCGCCUCGUGAAUUCAUCUCCGGGGGUAGAGCACUGUUUCGGCAAGGGGGUCAUCCCGACUUACCAACCCGAUGCAAACUGCGAAUACCGGAGAAUGUUAUCACGGGAGACACACGGCGGGUGCUAACGUCCGUCGUGAAGAGGGAAACAACCCAGACCGCCAGCUAAGGUCCCAAAGUCAUGGUUAAGUGGGAAACGAUGUGGGAAGGCCCAGACAGCCAGGAUGUUGGCUUAGAAGCAGCCAUCAUUUAAAGAAAGCGUAAUAGCUCACUGGUCGAGUCGGCCUGCGCGGAAGAUGUAACGGGGCUAAACCAUGCACCGAAGCUGCGGCAGCGACGCUUAUGCGUUGUUGGGUAGGGGAGCGUUCUGUAAGCCUGUGAAGGUGUGCUGUGAGGCAUGCUGGAGGUAUCAGAAGUGCGAAUGCUGACAUAAGUAACGAUAAAGCGGGUGAAAAGCCCGCUCGCCGGAAGACCAAGGGUUCCUGUCCAACGUUAAUCGGGGCAGGGUGAGUCGACCCCUAAGGCGAGGCCGAAAGGCGUAGUCGAUGGGAAACAGGUUAAUAUUCCUGUACUUGGUGUUACUGCGAAGGGGGGACGGAGAAGGCUAUGUUGGCCGGGCGACGGUUGUCCCGGUUUAAGCGUGUAGGCUGGUUUUCCAGGCAAAUCCGGAAAAUCAAGGCUGAGGCGUGAUGACGAGGCACUACGGUGCUGAAGCAACAAAUGCCCUGCUUCCAGGAAAAGCCUCUAAGCAUCAGGUAACAUCAAAUCGUACCCCAAACCGACACAGGUGGUCAGGUAGAGAAUACCAAGGCGCUUGAGAGAACUCGGGUGAAGGAACUAGGCAAAAUGGUGCCGUAACUUCGGGAGAAGGCACGCUGAUAUGUAGGUGAAGUCCCUCGCGGAUGGAGCUGAAAUCAGUCGAAGAUACCAGCUGGCUGCAACUGUUUAUUAAAAACACAGCACUGUGCAAACACGAAAGUGGACGUAUACGGUGUGACGCCUGCCCGGUGCCGGAAGGUUAAUUGAUGGGGUCAGCGCAAGCGAAGCUCUUGAUCGAAGCCCCGGUAAACGGCGGCCGUAACUAUAACGGUCCUAAGGUAGCGAAAUUCCUUGUCGGGUAAGUUCCGACCUGCACGAAUGGCGUAAUGAUGGCCAGGCUGUCUCCACCCGAGACUCAGUGAAAUUGAACUCGCUGUGAAGAUGCAGUGUACCCGCGGCAAGACGGAAAGACCCCGUGAACCUUUACUAUAGCUUGACACUGAACAUUGAGCCUUGAUGUGUAGGAUAGGUGGGAGGCUUGGAAGUGUGGACGCCAGUCUGCAUGGAGCCGACCUUGAAAUACCACCCUUUAAUGUUUGAUGUUCUAACGUUGACCCGUGAUCCGGGUUGCGGACAGUGUCUGGUGGGUAGUUUGACUGGGGCGGUCUCCUCCUAAAGAGUAACGGAGGAGCACGAAGGUUGGCUAAUCCUGGUCGGACAUCAGGAGGUUAGUGCAAUGGCAUAAGCCAGCUUGACUGCGAGCGUGACGGCGCGAGCAGGUGCGAAAGCAGGUCAUAGUGAUCCGGUGGUUCUGAAUGGAAGGGCCAUCGCUCAACGGAUAAAAGGUACUCCGGGGAUAACAGGCUGAUACCGCCCAAGAGUUCAUAUCGACGGCGGUGUUUGGCACCUCGAUGUCGGCUCAUCACAUCCUGGGGCUGAAGUAGGUCCCAAGGGUAUGGCUGUUCGCCAUUUAAAGUGGUACGCGAGCUGGGUUUAGAACGUCGUGAGACAGUUCGGUCCCUAUCUGCCGUGGGCGCUGGAGAACUGAGGGGGGCUGCUCCUAGUACGAGAGGACCGGAGUGGACGCAUCACUGGUGUUCGGGUUGUCAUGCCAAUGGCACUGCCCGGUAGCUAAAUGCGGAAGAGAUAAGUGCUGAAAGCAUCUAAGCACGAAACUUGCCCCGAGAUGAGUUCUCCCUGACUCCUUGAGAGUCCUGAAGGAACGUUGAAGACGACGACGUUGAUAGGCCGGGUGUGUAAGCGCAGCGAUGCGUUGAGCUAACCGGUACUAAUGAACCGUGAGGCUUAACCUU